AACGAACGCUGGCGGCGCGCCUAACACAUGCAAGUCGGACGCACUCGGUUCUUCGGGACCGGAUGAGUGGCGGACGGGUGAGUAACACGUGGGAACCUGCCCUGGGGUCUGGGAUAGCUGCGGGAAACUGCAGGUAAGACCGGAUGUGCCCUUUGGGGGAAAAUUCAUGCCCUGGGAUGGGCCCGCGUCGGAUUAGGUAGUUGGUGGGGUAGUGGCCUACCAAGCCUGCGAUCCGUAGCCGGUCUGAGAGGAUGAUCGGCCACACUGGGACUGAGACACGGCCCAGACUCCUACGGGAGGCAGCAGUGGGGAAUCUUGGACAAUGGGGGCAACCCUGAUCCAGCGACGCCGCGUGGGUGACGAAGGCCUUCGGGUCGUAAAGCCCUUUUGCCGGGGAAGAUGAUGACGGUACCCGGAGAAGAAGCACCGGCUAACUCUGUGCCAGCCGCCGCCGUAAGAC
This 460-nucleotide ribosomal RNA is filed under the name uncultured bacterium. RNAcentral's name for it is "bacterial SSU rRNA". It matches the Rfam family "Bacterial small subunit ribosomal RNA", at positions 28 to 526 of the family's 1533-position model. The record is from RNAcentral.